GAUGAACGCUGGCGGCGUGCCUAAUACAUGCAAGUCGAGCGAACAGACGAGGAGCUUGCUCCUCUGACGUUAGCGGCGGACGGGUGAGUAACACGUGGAUAACCUACCUAUAAGACUGGGAUAACUUCGGGAAACCGGAGCUAAUACCGGAUAAUAUAUUGAACCGCAUGGUUCAAUAGUGAAAGACGGUUUUGCUGUCACUUAUAGAUGGCUCCGCGCCGCAUUAGCUAGUUGGUAAGGUAACGGCUUACCAAGGCAACGAUGCGUAGCCGACCUGAGAGGGUGAUCGGCCACACUGGAACUGAUACACGGUCCAGACUCCUACGGGAGGCAGCAGUAGGGAAUCCUCCGCAAUGGGCGAAAGCUUGACGGAGCAACGCCGCGUGAGUGAUGAAGGUCUUCGGAUCGUAAAACUCUGUUAUUAGGGAAGAACAAAUGUGUAAGUAACUAUGCACGUCUUGACGGUACCUAAUCAGAAAGCCACGGCUAACUACGUG
Molecule: ribosomal RNA, 497 nt
Filed under: uncultured bacterium
Lineage: Bacteria
Description: partial 16S ribosomal RNA
Rfam family: Bacterial small subunit ribosomal RNA
Source: RNAcentral